ACAAGGUUUCCGUAGGUGAACCUGCGGAAGGAUCAUUGCACACACGAGUUGCAGCCAACCCGCGGCGAACGAACACAUUGUCCCUCCCGGUGGGUCGCGGCGCCUCGCGGCGUCGCGGCCGGCCACCUCCCUUCGGCGCGAGCUUCGUCACGAACUCGCGGCGUCGGGUUUCCACGCGAUGCCUUCACCUUGACCGAAUGACUGAGUCCCUCUGGCUCCACGGGAGCGAGUUCCGUCCCCCUUGGCUUGACUUGACUUGGCUUGUCUUGCUUGCUUAGGGGGUCGGCGCUGGUUACCUUGCGAGCUGUGAAACCUGUAACCGAAAACAACUCUCAGCAACGGAUAUCUUGGCUCUUGCAACGAUGAAGAACGCAGCGAAAUGCGAUACGUAAUUGUGAAUUGCAGAAUUCCGUGAAUCAUCGAAUCUUUGAACGCAAGUUGCGCCCGAGGCUUGUCCAAGGGCAUUUCCGCUAGAGCGUCACCGCGCCCCCCACCGCUCCACUCCCGCUGGGAGUCGGGUCGAGUGAAAGUGGCCAUCCCGGUGGGCCUCUCCCGACUUGGAAGGAGGGAAGGCCUUAAGGGUUGGCUGAAAUGGAGGGAAUCGGGCCGCCGUGGCGACACAGUCCGCGAUCGGGUGAUUUUCGGGCUCUCCUCCGCGGGAGCCCGGAAUAUUUCUAAGUGCGUGGCUGCGUCGCCCAGUUGGUCUUGGUGUUACCUCACGUGGCAGGUCGAGCGCGCCCCCGCGGCGCGCGUCACGCAGCAGACCUCUAAUCGGGAAAGACUACCCGCUGAGUUUAAGCAUAUCA
This 806-nucleotide ribosomal RNA is filed under the name Taiwanobryum guangdongense. Its description in RNAcentral is "eukaryotic LSU rRNA". The stretch from base 328 to 481 matches the Rfam family "5.8S ribosomal RNA". Lineage: Eukaryota; Viridiplantae; Streptophyta; Bryopsida; Hypnales; Leptodontaceae. The record is from RNAcentral.